UUCUCUUUCUCUUUCGAGUCAGGUAGUGAACUCUUUCUCUCCUACCGCAUCGGAGGGAAGGAGAGAAGAGUGCUUUCUUCUUCUCUUUCUCUUUCUUCUCUUCCUCU
Molecule: non-coding RNA, 107 nt
Filed under: Paramoeba aestuarina
Lineage: Eukaryota; Discosea; Flabellinia; Dactylopodida; Paramoebidae
Source: RNAcentral